CCUAACACAUGCAAGUCGAGCGGUAACAGAGAGUAGCUUGCUUCUUUGCUGACGAGCGGCGGACGGGUGAGUAAUGCUUGGGAACAUGCCUUGAGGUGGGGGACAACAGUUGGAAACGACUGCUAAUACCGCAUAAUGUCUACGGACCAAAGGGGGCUUCGGCUCUCGCCUUUAGAUUGGCCCAAGUGGGAUUAGCUAGUUGGUGAGGUAAUGGCUCACCAAGGCGACGAUCCCUAGCUGGUUUGAGAGGAUGAUCAGCCACACUGGGACUGAGACACGGCCCAGACUMMUACGGGAGGCAGCAGUGGGGAAUAUUGCACAAUGGGCGCAAGCCUGAUGCAGCCAUGCCGCGUGUGUGAAGAAGGCCUUCGGGUUGUAAAGCACUUUCAGUCAGGAGGAAAGGUUAGUAGUUAAUACCUGCUAGCUGUGACGUUACUGACAGAAGAAGCACCGGCUAACUCCGUGCCAGCAGCCGCGGUAAUACGGAGGGUGCGAGCGUUAAUCGGAAUUACUGGGCGUAAAGCGUACGCAGGCGGUUUGUUAAGCGAGAUGUGAAAGCCCCGGGCUCAACCUGGGAACUGCAUUUCGAACUGGCAAACUAGAGUGUGAUAGAGGGUGGUAGAAUUUCAGGUGUAGCGGUGAAAUGCGUAGAGAUCUGAAGGAAUACCGAUGGCGAAGGCAGCCACCUGGGUCAACACUGACGCUCAUGUACGAAAGCGUGGGGAGCAAACGGGAUUAGAUACCCCGGUAGUCCACGCCGUAAACGAUGUCUACUAGAAGCUCGGAGCCUCGGUUCUGUUUUUCAAAGCUAACGCAUUAAGUAGACCGCCUGGGGAGUACGGCCGCAAGGUUAAAACUCAAAUGAAUUGACGGGGGCCCGCACAAGCGGUGGAGCAUGUGGUUUAAUUCGAUGCAACGCGAAGAACCUUACCUACACUUGACAUACAGAGAACUUACCAGAGAUGGUUUGGUGCCUUCGGGARCUCUGAUACAGGUGCUGCAUGGCUGUCGUCAGCUCGUGUUGUGAGAUGUUGGGUUAAGUCCCGCAACGAGCGCAACCCCUAUCCUUAGUUGCUAGCAGGUAAUGCUGAGAACUCUAAGGAGACUGCCGGUGAUAAACCGGAGGAAGGUGGGGACGACGUCAAGUCAUCAUGGCCCUUACGUGUAGGGCUACACACGUGCUACAAUGGCGCAUACAGAGUGCUGCGAACCUGCGAAGGUAAGCGAAUCACUUAAAGUGCGUCGUAGUCCGGAUUGGAGUCUGCAACUCGACUCCAUGAAGUCGGAAUCGCUAGUAAUCGCGUAUCAGAAUGACGCGGUGAAUACGUUCCCGGGCCUUGUACACACCGCCCGUCACACCAUGGGAGUGGGUUGCUCCAGAAGUAGAUAGUCUAACCCUCGGGAGGACG
RNAcentral lists this ribosomal RNA (1409 nucleotides) under Pseudoalteromonas sp. KOPRI 25492. RNAcentral describes it as "16S ribosomal RNA". It matches the Rfam family "Bacterial small subunit ribosomal RNA". The record is from RNAcentral. Lineage: Bacteria; Pseudomonadati; Pseudomonadota; Gammaproteobacteria; Alteromonadales; Pseudoalteromonadaceae.